CUCUAUGUCACUGAACUACAACGAGACAGCUGUGCUUUGCCAUCAUCCCAGAGAGUCAGGUAACAAAGCAAGCUGCAGAUCCGGUGUUGGAAGGUCACGGAUAUGCCUGGUGACCAGAAUACGAUACUAGGAGACUCCGAAAGGCCACGAGCUAGCAGAGGGUGUGACUAAAGCAAAACUGACACCAGGGAAGCCAUCAGUGAACUCGUGGCAGAAGUAAGAGCUGAAUGACCUAGCAGGUGGUGUCUUCUUCACCCACAGCCGCUUUGGGCCCCAGGUGAGUGUGAUUCUUGUUCCAAAGAGUCUGUUUGUUUCCAAAGAGUUUUAAAGGCACCACUAGGCACCUGACACUGUAAGACAAUUUGAGGCAGGAAUGAGCAUCUCUAAAUUAAGUGACUUGGACUGGAUUGGAUACCCCAUGGGCGAGUGUUUGCAGACCUGACAAGGGCCUCACCCAAGUGAAAAAUGAUUCUUUUAACUCCUCCAUGGGUUGGUAGGUGUGAAGAGUAACUCACAUCUGAGUCUUGGACUGUGGCAGCAAUGUCACUUUCUGGCAUUAUCCCUGAGAUUCAGAGACGCAAUCCUUGAAUGCAUUUGUGAAAACCAAAUGUCUGACACCUUUGCAGGACCCGUGAAGCCAGGGAUGGAGGUUUCUGGCAUGUUUCCCUGUUGUAGCAGUGCCAAGCCUGGGAUAUGCUGGUGAAGGCAUCUGGACAUCACAAUGGGUUUGUGAGGCACAAGGGGCCAGCUGAGUAUUGGGAUCUGAGCAUCAAGGCGCUGGGGCUCUGGGAACAGUUCUCCCAAAUCCACAUUGAUGAGGUCCAGGGAGAAUGUGCCAUCACCCGGGCCUAUUGCCCUGCACUUCCUCCUCUGAGGUCUCCGGCCUCAGUUUGGUGGGGAAGACUUGGGUCGAUGGGAAACGCACAAAAGUGAAGCCAUCUGCCACCAGGAACAAAUGACCACUGGCUGGUCCUUCUCUCCGAUGAGCGGUUGAUCCAAAGUAUUCUGUGAUUUUGGCAAUAUGUGCUCCAUGAGUCCUCAUAAUAUCCUGUGAGCAGGGUCUCAGGAUUCUCACUUACCUGCCUGUCCCUCUCUCCAGCACCAGGAACGAGGGAGGCCACUGAGGACAGUGACCACCUGUGGCCUCAAGAAUCCAAAAAUUUACAAAUUUGUUCUCCUAUUUUAAGGGGAAACGUCUCAGAUCCAGUGUUCCUUGGUUGAUGGAAGAUAUAAAUGGAAUGCAAACGGGAACAGGAAUCUUGGUUCGAAUGUAUUAACUUAUUUGCAUAACCACUAUCAAUUAAAAACUUAAAAUAUUUCCCAGAUGUUCUUAUGUGAUCAUAUUACAAGACAGCAAUUUAAAAUUGCCCCAAGGUCAACAUCCUAAGCAAGAGCAACUAAUCUAAGAAAUACAGAGUAACAUAUACUAGAAACACGUGCCACGUGAGGGCUAUGGAGAGGCCUGGAGCACACACAGGCUGGUGGGUAAUUAGAAGGAAAAUUGCCUGCAGGGAACUUGAGGGCUAUUAGGUUGCGGUUUAUGUUCAUUAAAUUUAAACACCUGGUUUCAUAGUCAUGUGGUUUCCUAGGCCUUGAUAUUGGCUCCAAACAGCUAUUUCUGCAUAAUCUGGACCGUGUUUUUCUUACGGUCACCUGAUCCAUCAAUUCCCUGUGAGCACCACUUGUUGUGCCCACUUAUCAUUGCGGGGACCUGAAAGUGGGCCCUGAAACUCCAAGGUAAGGACUCUGGACAGGAGACUUGUAAAAAGUUCCGUGGCUGCCAGGGGUUGGGGCUGGGGAGAAUAAAUAGGCAGAGCACAGAGGAUUUUUAGGGCAGUGAGAACUUCUGUGUGAUACAGUAAUGAUGGAUGCAUAUCAUUAUACAGUUUUCCAAACCCAUAAAAUAUAUAGCACCAAGAGUGAAUCCUAUCUAAACUAUGGACUUUGGGUGAUUACUACAUAUCAAUGUAGGUUCAUCAGUGGUAAGAAAUGUACCAUUCUGGGUAGGGAUGCUGACACUGGGAGAGGCUAUGCAUGUGGGGGGGUGUAUAUAGAUGGGAAACAUCUGUACUUUUCUCUCAGUUUUGCUGUGAAGCUUUAACUGCUCUAAAAACACUAAAGUCUUUUGUAAAAUGUCCAUGAACUCCUGGUGGUUUCAGUUUUGGCGUUGGAGGACCAUGAAGUUGACAUCUCCUUGAGCCACCCCAAGGCCUCAGGCACCAUCCACUAAAAGGCCCUAAUUUGGAUGUUUAACCAGCCAGUUCUUGCCUUUCUCAUAAAUCUCCAGACGAUCUUAAUCCCCAUCAGUGAUCUAUUUAUUAUUCACAAUCUUCUCCCCUCCUUGUUCUGGCCCAUGGCAACCUUUCUAUCUUGGCUUAUGUUACCCCAGCAACCUAAACAUUAAACUUGCCAUUUUGCCUACUUGGAAUGUUCUCUGUCCAGUUCUCCGAGAGCUUCUUCUGCAAUUAUGUCUUCAGAAGGUUCUCUCUUAACACUAACCGAAGGAUCCUUUCCCCACAUCCCGCCUCCAGCCACUCUAUACCACGUUAAACUAUUUUAUUGUCUUUAUAGCUUUUCUCUCUCUCAGACUUAUUCUAUUGUUUUCUUGCUUGUUUACUCUCUUCCCCUGUUUCCUUUUUUAAACAUAAAUUCUUCCAGAGUAAGGGUUUAUGUCUGUGUUGUUUCUGCUACAUCUUGAUGUCUAGAAUAGUCCUUGGCAUGCAGAAUUUGUUGGCUGAUUGGAUAAGUAAAUGGAUAGAUAAAUGAAUGACUUCAAGGAUAAGUGUAUAUCCUGGAGUUCAAAUGCCUGCCUUGUAAAGACUUUUCAUUAAAAAUAUUAUUAAUAAAUACAGUAUAACAUCAUAUUGAGUUUAAACAAUGCAUUCCCUCGAGUUAGGUACUUUUAUAGUUUGGAUUGUAGCUUUGCAGACUUUUAAUGCAUGCUGAGUCAUUAUGUCUAUCUAUAUCUAUCCAUCUAUCUUCCUAUCUAUAUAAUAUAUAUGCUGCUCUGUAAUUUGCUCUUUGAAACAACAUACUUUCAAAUAAAACAGUCAUACAUUCCAUUAGAAAGUUGAGGAUUACACAGACUGAUAACAUAGCCAUGAGUCCUAAAUUCAAGAAUCUCUGAACCAACAAAGUCUCCCGUGGACUAGGUACCAUAGAAGAAAUAGCAUGUCGAUGGGCCCAGCAUGCCAGCCCCAGCAAGCACUGGCCUGGCCAUUCUCCGAAUAGCUGCCAUGUAUGACACACUUGAAGCUUUGCACAACCUGUGUUUUCUCACAGUAGAACCUU
Molecule: long non-coding RNA, 3291 nt
Organism: Orcinus orca (killer whale)
Lineage: Eukaryota; Metazoa; Chordata; Mammalia; Artiodactyla; Delphinidae
Exons: 4
Source: RefSeq, a predicted model, not a curated record